Molecule: ribosomal RNA, 505 nt
Filed under: uncultured bacterium
Lineage: Bacteria
Description: partial 16S ribosomal RNA
Rfam family: Bacterial small subunit ribosomal RNA
Source: RNAcentral
GACGAACGCUGGCGGCGUGCCUAAUACAUGCCAGUAGAACGCACAGUUUAUACCGUAGCUUGCUACACCAUAGACUGUGAGUUGCGAACGGGUGAGUAACGCGUAGGUAACCUGCCUGGUAGCGGGGGAUAACUAUUGGAAACGAUAGCUAAUACCGCAUAAUAUUGAUUAUUGCAUGAUAAUUGAUUUAAAGAUGCUAUUGCAUCACUACCAGAUGGACCUGCGUUGUAUUAGCUAGUAGGUGAGGUAACGGCUCACCUAGGCGACGAUACAUAGCCGACCUGAGAGGGGGAUCGGCCACACUGGGACGGAGACACGGCCCAGACGACUACGGGAGGCAGCAGUAGGGAAUCUUCGGCAAUGGACGAAAGUCUGACCGAGCAACGCCGCGUGAGUGAAGAAGGUUUUCGGAUCGUAAAGCUCGGUUGUAAGAGAAGAACGGGUGUGAGAGUGGAAAGUUCACACUGUGACGGUAUCUUACCAGAAAGGGACGGCUAACUACGUG